AGAGAAAUUUUUGAGCUAUUUAUUCUUUUUUUUUUAGAAAAAAUUUCAAAUAUUAUCCAUGUGGUUUCACACUUUCUCACUUUAUUAAUAUCUCAUGAUUUAAAGUGUAUAAAUUUAGAGUCCUGUGGUUUCAUUUUUAUCCUUUUAUUAUCGAUUUCAUUAAUUUUUUUCGUUAAACCAAUGACAAAGUUAAAACUAAAGGGUACUAAAGUGAAUAUUCAAUAAACCUAGGUGGAGUAUCUGGAGUGUUUUGUAUAUAAUUUAACAAAAUAUUAAUGGAGAAACCGACAAAAAGAUAAAAAUAAAAUCACAUGACACUAAUUUAAUACACUUUAAACCAUAAGGUACUAAAGUGAGAAAGUGCAAAACCACAGGGAUAGCAUCUGAAGUUUACCCUUUUUUUAUAUAUAAUAGAAAACUUUCUCAUGGAGCGUGGUACCUGAGACCCAAGUUGGAAUCCUAAUUGAUUUAUAUUCACAGCUAAGUUUAUUUCUAAAUAAAAUAAAUGAAGCGGGUAGCGUGCUACCUAUCUCUCUCAAAAAAAAAAAAAAA
Molecule: long non-coding RNA, 552 nt
Filed under: Ananas comosus (pineapple)
Lineage: Eukaryota; Viridiplantae; Streptophyta; Magnoliopsida; Poales; Bromeliaceae
Description: long non-coding RNA (ACOM_LNC022647)
Source: RNAcentral